Molecule: ribosomal RNA, 787 nt
Filed under: Salmonella enterica subsp. enterica serovar Stanleyville
Lineage: Bacteria; Pseudomonadati; Pseudomonadota; Gammaproteobacteria; Enterobacterales; Enterobacteriaceae
Description: partial 23S ribosomal RNA
Rfam family: Bacterial large subunit ribosomal RNA
Source: RNAcentral
UGGGAGCACCCUUUGGGGUGUGACUGCGUACCUUUUGUAUAAUGGGUCAGCGACUUAUAUUCUGUAGCAAGGUUAACCGCAUAGGGGAGCCGGAGGGAAACCGAGUCUUAAUUGGGCGUUAAGUUGCAGGGUAUAGACCCGAAACCCGGUGAUCUAGCCAUGGGCAGGUUGAAGGUUGGGUAACACUAACUGGAGGACCGAACCGACUAAUGUUGAAAAAUUAGCGGAUGACCUGUGGCUGGGGGUGAAAGGCCAAUCAAACCGGGAGAUAGCUGGUUCUCCCCGAAAGCUAUUUAGGUAGCGCCUCGUGAAUUCAUCUCCGGGGGUAGAGCACUGUUUCGGCUAGGGGGCCAUCCCGGCUUACCAACCCGAUGCAAACUGCGAAUACCGGAGAAUGUUAUCACGGGAGACACACGGCGGGUGCUAACGUCCGUCGUGAAGAGGGAAACAACCCAGACCGCCAGCUAAGGUCCCAAAGUCAUGGUUAAGUGGGAAACGAUGUGGGAAGGCCCAGACAGCCAGGAUGUUGGCUUAGAAGCAGCCAUCAUUUAAAGAAAGCGUAAUAGCUCACUGGUCGAGUCGGCCUGCGCGGAAGAUGUAACGGGGCUAAACCAUGCACCGAAGCUGCGGCAGCGACGCUUAUGCGUUGUUGGGUAGGGGAGCGUUCUGUAAGCCUGUGAAGGUGGCCUGUGAGGGUUGCUGGAGGUAUCAGAAGUGCGAAUGCUGACAUAAGUAACGAUAAAGCGGGUGAAAAGCCCGCUCGCCGGAAGACCAAGGGUUCCUGUCC